Molecule: signal recognition particle RNA, 97 nt
Filed under: Salinimonas sediminis
Lineage: Bacteria; Pseudomonadati; Pseudomonadota; Gammaproteobacteria; Alteromonadales; Alteromonadaceae
Description: signal recognition particle sRNA small type
Rfam family: Bacterial small signal recognition particle RNA
About the family: The signal recognition particle (SRP) is a universally conserved ribonucleoprotein involved in the co-translational targeting of proteins to membranes. Archaeal SRP consists of a 7S RNA and homologues of the eukaryotic SRP19 and SRP54 proteins. In most bacteria, the SRP consists of a 4.5S RNA and the Ffh protein (a homologue of the eukaryotic SRP54 protein).
Source: RNAcentral
UUUUGGUCCUCUCGCAAUGAUACUCUGUGAAUCCGGUCAGGCCUGGAAGGGAGCAGCCGCAGCAGACGACUCAUGUGCCGAGAUGUGGCUGGAGGCC